AAGUCGUAACAAGGUCUCCGUUGGUGAACCAGCGGAGGGAUCAUUGCUGGAACGCGCCCCUGGCGCACCCAGAAACCCUUUGUGAACUUAUACCACUGUUGCCUCGGCGCAGGCCGGCCUCUUAGCUGAGGCCCCCCGGAGACGGGGAGCAGCCCGCCGGCGGCCAGCCAAACUCUUGUUUCUAUAGUGGAUCUCUGAGUAAGAAAACAUAAAUGAAUCAAAACUUUCAACAACGGAUCUCUUGGUUCUG
Molecule: unclassified non-coding RNA, 250 nt
Filed under: Diaporthe batatas
Lineage: Eukaryota; Fungi; Ascomycota; Sordariomycetes; Diaporthales; Diaporthaceae
Description: partial internal transcribed spacer region
Rfam family: Eukaryotic small subunit ribosomal RNA (bases 1-46)
Source: RNAcentral